AGUGAACGCUGGCGGUAGGCCUAACACAUGCAAGUCGAACGGCAGCACAGUAAGAGCUUGCUCUUACGGGUGGCGAGUGGCGGACGGGUGAGGAAUACAUCGGAAUCUACUUUUUCGUGGGGGAUAACGUAGGGAAACUUACGCUAAUACCGCAUACGACCUACGGGUGAAAGCAGGGGAUCUUCGGACCUUGCGCGAUUGAAUGAGCCGAUGUCGGAUUAGCUAGUUGGCGGGGUAAAGGCCCACCAAGGCGACGAUCCGUAGCUGUUCUGAGAGGAUGAUCAGCCACACUGGAACUGAGACACGGUCCAGACUCCUACGGGAGGCAGCAGUGGGGAAUAUUGGACAAUGGGCGCAGGCCUGAUCCAGCCAUACCGCGUGGGUGAAGAAGGCCUUCGGGUUGUAAAGCCCUUUUGUUGGGAAAGAAAAGCAGCAGGUUAAUACCCCGCUGUUCUGACGGUACCCAAAGAAUAAGCACCGGCUAACUUCGUG
This 492-nucleotide ribosomal RNA is filed under the name uncultured bacterium. RNAcentral describes it as "partial 16S ribosomal RNA". It matches the Rfam family "Bacterial small subunit ribosomal RNA", at positions 29 to 507 of the family's 1533-position model. The record is from RNAcentral.